RNAcentral lists this ribosomal RNA (450 nucleotides) under uncultured bacterium. RNAcentral's name for it is "bacterial SSU rRNA". It matches the Rfam family "Bacterial small subunit ribosomal RNA", at positions 28 to 473 of the family's 1533-position model. The record is from RNAcentral.
GAUGAACGCUAGCGGCAGGCUUAAUACAUGCAAGUCGUGGGGCAGCAUGAGUAGCAAUACUUGAUGGCGACCGGCAAACGGGUGAGGAACACGUACACAACCUUCCUUCAAGCGGGGAAUAGCCCAGAGAAAUUUGGAUUAAAUACCCCAUAAUAUAUUUGAUAAGGCAUCUUAUUAAAUAUUAAAGCUUCGGCACUUGAUGAUGGGUGUGCGGCUGAUUAGAUAGUUGGCGGGGUAACGGCCCACCAAGUCUACGAUCAGUAGCUGAUGUGAGAGCAUGAUCAGCCACACGGGCACUGAGACACGGGCCCGACUCCUACGGGAGGCAGCAGUAAGGAAUAUUGGACAAUGGGACGAAAGUCUGAUCCAGCCAUGCCGCGUGAAGGAUUAAGGUCCUCUGGAUUGUAAACUUCUUUAUAUGGACGAAAAGGGCAUUCUUGUUCACUUGAC